GGCCUUGUGGUCUAGUGGUAUGAUUCUCGCUUAGGGUGCGAGAGGUCCCGGAUUCGAUCUCCGGCAGAGAACCC
Molecule: transfer RNA, 74 nt
Filed under: Phytophthora infestans T30-4
Lineage: Eukaryota; Oomycota; Peronosporomycetes; Peronosporales; Peronosporaceae
Description: tRNA-Pro
Rfam family: tRNA (bases 6-66)
About the family: Transfer RNA (tRNA) molecules are approximately 80 nucleotides in length. Their secondary structure includes four short double-helical elements and three loops (D, anti-codon, and T loops).
Source: RNAcentral